RNAcentral lists this long non-coding RNA (2560 nucleotides) under Podarcis lilfordi (Lilford's wall lizard). The record is from RNAcentral. Lineage: Eukaryota; Metazoa; Chordata; Lepidosauria; Squamata; Lacertidae.
AACAUAUGGAUGUUAAGAUAGGACUGUUCACCCCUAAUAUUUUGUGCCUUCCCUCUGCUCAGCUUUCCUCUAAAGCAGUAUAAGUAAGCACAGUAUGAGACAGGAUAUCAGAUAGGGUGAACUUGCACAAAAGACCUGAGAACUCUUUCUCACAUCAUUUAAUGUAUACAUUUCCAUUGUAAUUGCACAUAUACAUGUGCAUAAACUCUGCAGUGCUGCAUGCAUAGAAUUUCCUGCAGAAAUACAUGUUGCUGUAUGGAUUCCUGACACUACCACCAUCCAUUAUUAUUUUUUAAAAAACACACAAUAUAAUUCUAGUUCUCAAGGAAAUUGAAAUAAUAUUUUAAACCAUGUGCUGUAUCUGCCAGAGGUUCCAGUGUUCAAAUGAUAGAGUUUUGGUGCUUGUUGUACUUCCUUGUUCACGUAUCCCACAACUCACAACUGACCCGUUCCUUGCCUCCUGCCACCCUACUGCUGCUUCCCCCAAAUAGUUUAUGUUUUGCAAAAAGGUAAGGCAUGGGGCUCAGAAGAAAGUUGAGCCCAUGCUUUACCUUCAUACUUCACACCAAAUGAACAAUAUGGUUAUAAUAAGGAAGCACAUUUACAAAAAAUAAAAGGAUUGUUUAUUUACAUGAUUGAACUCAAGAUGUGGGGUAGAUGCCAUUAUUUCUUCCUGAUUUAGAACCUGAUUUCUAGAACACAUUCGCUACUUUCCCAACCCCAUCAAGUAACCCAGGAUCAACAAGAGCUGGUGUGCUCAACAGAGAAGUUGUGAGACUGCAUCUGUUGAAGUUUGGCACAUUAUAGAAAUGUGGGGAAGGAAUAUAGCUCAAUGGUACAAUGGCACAUGCUUUGCAUGUAAGAGGUCCCAGAUUCACCCCCUGGCAUCUCCAGGUAGGCAGGGGCUGGGGAAGACCCCUGUCUGGAACCCUGCAGAGCUGCUGGUGGUCAUUGUCGAUCAGAGAAGGGGAACCCUCUAGCCCUCCAGAUGUUGGUGGACUCUAGCCCCCUCUGUCAGCAUGGUCCAUGGUCAGAUAUGGUAUCCAAUGACAUCUGGAGGGCCACAGGUUCUUAAUCCCUGGUGCAGAUCGUACUGAGCUAGAAGAACCAAUGGUCUGACUCUGUUUAAGGCAGCAUCCUAUGUUCCUGGAUAUAUUCUAUGGGGCACAGCCAUCCAGCCCACUCAAUGGCAGCAUUAUAGUCAACUUGACCAUGUGUUCAUAUUCCAACAUGCUUUCCAUCUACCCUCAGUGCAUAUAGUUGAUUCUCCCAAGCCCCUGGCAGAAAUAUCACACAUUUAACAGCUGUAUGGCAGACAGAAACCCUGUCCCAUUGCUGAAUCUGCAUGCAAGGAAAGGCUUUGCCUGGUUUCUGCCUUUCAUGCAGAGGUAAAAGCCUCAGCAGUCUUGCUGGUGGGGAGAAGCAACCCUGUUCAGUUAGUAGGCUGCAUAUUUCACCAGCCUCGGCACUCUGUGAAUUUGCUGAAAGUCCCAAGACGCGUUGAAAUUCCAUCAGAAAUGGCUGGAAUUGAAGGUUGGAGUGGGAAAUGAAACAUCUCUGAUAGGAGGGCAAACUAGGUCACCAUUGUGGUUCUCUCUAGCCUGUAGAUUUGUGUUACAGACAGCUAGGCUCCCCUUUUGAAGCAAAGCAUUCUUUCACAUGGAUGUGAAGUGACUGUUUCCAUACCUUUGGCCAAAACAAUACCUCCUGCCAUCCCCUAAGAGCAAAAAAUGCCAAGAACAUUCAUUCUGGCAUGUGAACUAUAUGGCAACGGCAGAGCGCGCUGUCGUGAGCCAAGGAAAAUACCUCCUGACAUUCCCUUAGAAAAAUAAAAGCCUAGGUUUCCUCGCAAUAUGAAAUAACUUGAAUAUUAAAAACAAACAGAGGCCCAGUAACAGGGUCGAGAUGCAAAGAGUAAUUCCUCAUACAGCUGAAGUUUUGCAUGCAAAGAUGUGUCAUGGCGAUGGGAGCCUCGCUUGUGGUAGCUUCACCCACAUGCAACCAGAAGUAAGUAGAAGGAAAUAUGAUGGCACUGGCACUGGCCAGUAGGCAACCACAAUACUAAUACAACGGCCAUCCACCCCACACACAUGCUAUUUCAUCUGCAAUACUUCUACUCCCCGGACAAAUCGAUCACCCAAUCAAUCCUUGAAGUGGUAUCAUCUUUCUCGUCUGUAUGGAUGUAUAUGCUCACUUUUGCAUGACUGGAACUUAUCUCCAGAACAGAGGUAAACCCGCACUGAUUGAUCUGUACACUUUGCCUUUGGCCCCAUCCACCACUUACAUGAGGGCCCUGGAAAGUUCAGACUAAGGGAAAGCAAUGUUUGGGUUGGGUUCCCCACCCCAUGGGGACAGAUAGAAAAGGACACCUUCAUCCCAGUAUGGCUCCCCUUUAUCACAUGCACAGCUCAACGAGACAACCCACAGACUGCAUAACAAAAAAUAUGGCUUACCUGACCCAACAAUCCCACCCACCACCCUCACAAAUGCAAACAAACCUCACUUCAGCCAACUACAGACAACCAACCACACCCUGGGCCCCCCAAUCCCUCUCACUACC